RNAcentral lists this ribosomal RNA (444 nucleotides) under uncultured bacterium. Its description in RNAcentral is "SSU rRNA". It matches the Rfam family "Bacterial small subunit ribosomal RNA", at positions 26 to 518 of the family's 1533-position model. The record is from RNAcentral.
AGAACGAACGCUGGCGGCACGCCUAACACAUGCAAGUCGAGCGCCCAGCAAUGGGAGCGGCGGACGAGUGAGUAACACGUGGGAACAUGCCUUUCGGUUCGGCACAACUCAGGGAAACUUGAGCUAAUUCCGGAUGCGCCCGUAAGGGGAAAGAUUUAUCGCCGAAAGAUUGGCCCGCGUAAGAUUAGCUAGUUGGUGAGGUAAUGGCUCACCAAGGCAACGAUCUUUAGCUGGUUUGAGAGAACGACCAGCCACGUUGGGACUGAGACACGGCCCAAACUCCUACGGGAGGCAGCAGUGGGGAAUCUUGGACAAUGGGCGAAAGCCUGAUCCAGCGAUGCCGCGUGAGUGAUGAAGGCCUUCGGGUUGUAAAACUCUUUUACCCGGGAAGAUAAUGACUGUACCGGGAGAAUAAGCUCCGGCUAACUUCGCGCCAGCAGCCGC